GAGAAUUGGACUGGUGGACAGAUAAAAAUGCCGGAGGGAGAUGUGGCUGAUGCUGAAGACUGGUGGCAGCGAUCCUUGGCGCCACAUACUAAGAAAGAAAGAAGAUCAGUGGGGGCCUAUCUAAUGUUCACCGCUUGGAACAUUUGGAAGGCGAGAAAUCGCUGAGUGUUCGAAGGAAGAAGCCAACAAUAGACGCAGGUGUUGGCCAUGAUCAAGGAAGACAUAAAUCAGUGCCAUAGUGCGUGUGGUAGCCCUGAAUUGGGCUAGUGUAUCCUCUUUUAUUAAUGUUAGAGUUCAGAGAGACCAUUUAUUUAUGUAAUAUCAC
This 325-nucleotide long non-coding RNA is filed under the name Setaria viridis. RNAcentral's name for it is "long non-coding RNA (SVIR_LNC008326)". The record is from RNAcentral. Lineage: Eukaryota; Viridiplantae; Streptophyta; Magnoliopsida; Poales; Poaceae.